Molecule: transfer RNA, 69 nt
Filed under: Alcithoe jaculoides
Lineage: Eukaryota; Metazoa; Mollusca; Gastropoda; Neogastropoda; Volutidae
Description: tRNA-Val
Source: RNAcentral
AAAAACAUAGUAUAGUUAAAUACAUUUCACUUACACUGAAAAUACACUUAAUUUAAUAAGUUGUUUUUA